RNAcentral lists this ribosomal RNA (494 nucleotides) under uncultured bacterium. RNAcentral describes it as "partial 16S ribosomal RNA". It matches the Rfam family "Bacterial small subunit ribosomal RNA", at positions 28 to 507 of the family's 1533-position model. The record is from RNAcentral.
GACGAACGCUGGCGGCGCGCUUAACACAUGCAAGUCGAACGGAAAGGCCUGCUUUCCCUUGUGGAUUGCGGGUACUCGAGUGGCGAACGGGUGAGUAACACGUGAGUGAUCUGCCCCCAACUUGGGUAUAAGCCUGGGAAACUGGGUCUAAUUCCCGAUAGGACUGCAGGGUGGUGCCUGUGGUGGAAAACGAUUUUCUAGUGGUUGGGGAUGAGCUCGCGGCCUAUCAGCUUGUUGGUGGGGUAAUGGCCUACCAAGGCGGCGACGGGUAGCCGGCCUGGGAGAGUGGACGGGCACAGUGGGACUGCGAUACGGCCCAGACGCCUACGGGAGGCAGCAGUGGGGAAUAAUGCACAAGGGGCGGAAGCCUGAUGCAGCGACGCCGCGUGAGGGAUGACGGGCUUCGGGUGGUAAACUCCUUUCGACCGCGAGGAAGCCACCUGGUUGGAAGGGUGGUGACGGUAGUGGUAGAAGAAGCACCGGCUAACUACGUG